GCCAGGGAUGGAAUCCACAUCCUAAUGGACACUGUGCUGAGUUCUGAACCCACUGAGCCACAACAGGAACUCCUAAGCAGUAUUCUUAAUACUGCAUAUCAGGUUACAGCGUGUUUAAUGAAGAGUAAAUCAGCUCUUUACGUGGCAUUUCAGAUGGCCACAUCAUCUAGAAUGCCUAUGAACAGAGACUGCAAAGUGUGACACGUUCCCCUGCACCUCCUGGCUUUGCAAGACCCCCUGAGUGUUUACAUCUUCCUCAGCGAGAAGAUAAUGACCCGAGGACUCAGAUGAUGGUUAGCAUUUUUGGCACUGAAGUAUCUUUUAAUUAAGGUAUGUGCAUUGUUUUCUUACACAUGUUGCACACUUUAUUAGAAUAUGGUAUCAUGUGUACAUAACUUUUAUAUGUACUGGGCAGCUGAAAAAAUUCUGUUACUCUUUAUUGUGAUAUGUGCUGUAUUGCAGUGGUCUGAAAUUGAACCUUAGCAUCUCUGAGGCUGGCCUGGAUUAGGACUAUAAUAGCAUGAAAAAGCCCUAAAAGGAUUCUUUCAGAAAGUUCUUUGUGGAAUCUUUAGCCCUCAUCUUUUAAAUGGACUUAAAGUAUUUUGCUUGUUGGUUUUUAAAUGAGUAGGUUCCUCUGCUAUAAUUUCUACUUUUUGUUUCUUACAAAUCAAGUUUCACAAGGUAUAACUAGAAACAGGCAAAAAUCUCUAUUUCACCCUCUAAAAGUUCCUGUCUUUGGUAGCAGGAUUACUGUCAGUAAUGAAUAAACUGCAUGUGAUCUAUGCAGCCCAAGCAAUAACUGCACAAACUGCUAUGUAAACAGAAGGUGUUCAUUCAGCAGUGUGCCAAACAGCACACAAAUGGCGCUCCUGAUUGUUUCCCUGCUGAGCGUGAAGGAAGGGUGAUGCUUGCAGGCAGCCCUUCAUUUAGAGAUGUCAGUGGGUCAAUAGUGACACAGGCUGGCCCUGCCCAGGAAAGGUCGCCUGUGGAAAAUCCAAAGUUAGAAUCAUGUUGAGAGAUAAGUAGUGGAACGAGAUUACAAAAUGAAAUCCUCAGUAACAAAUUUAGCUCUGCGCUUUAGUGAGUAACUGUUCGAUCUAAAUGGUUCUUCUUAUAUACUCAAUAUAUUGAAGUAUAGUUGAUUGAUGUACAGUGUUGUGUGUUCAUUUCUGCUGUACAGCACAGUGACCCAGUUAUAUGUAUUAUUAUAUGCAUUCUUUUUUUGGGGGAUUCUUUUCCAUUAUGGUUUAUCAGAGAGUACUGAAUAUAGCUCCCUGUGCUAUACACAGUAAGACCUUGUUUGGCAGACUUUUAUAGCUUGGAUUUGUAAAAUAGCCAGUGGUACCUGGAAUUUUAUGAAGGUUCCUCAUUGUUUUACCCUUUCCCCCAACUUAAAGCUUUGUGUUAUUCCAGCUUUGUGUUAUUCCCAUAAAUAAGUAUGAAGCUAGUCAGGCAAAUUACAUACAGGUUAGUGGCACUUUUUGUAAAAUACCACCCGGUCCAGUUAUGAUGUUUUCUCAAAUCGCUCUUGCUUCAGAGAGUUCUCGCAAAUGAAACAUGUAGCACUUAUAAACUUGAUUUCCAUACAAAUGUAGAAUCUUCGUGAUGCAUACUAUUUAAAAAUGACACCAUACCGAAGACAAAGAUAGUAUUUACGUAUGGUAAAAAGGCAAGUGAACGAAGCUAUAAUUUUAUUUCAUUUCUCUUAAUACAUCCACAACUAUUUCCACCUAAAUAGAUCUUUAAAAUAAGCAUACACAAGUAUUGACUAUUAUCUACAAAUAUUUAUUGUAACACUUGAAUAGAACUACAGGAAGCCCUUGGCACUGAUAGAAAAUAUUGAUCCACUGUUAGGUUACAAAAAUUUAUACAUAGCAAAAUUUAAUGCUCUUUACAUAAAAAAUAUUAGACUACUUAAACAAAACGUUCAGGAAUUCCUGGUAAUAGCUACCAGAAUUAGAAAAGUAAAAUUAGGCUUUAGACACUGCCUCUGCUAGAACACUGGACUCUAACAGCACCUCCACUGCUGGAAAAAAUAUUUAAGUCUGUCAUGCAACAGGAAAACAAAACACCAAGCCAUUCUGGAACAACUUUCUACACAGAAGAGAACUUCUCCCAAGUAAUUAAAAAAAAAAAAAAGUCAAGAUCCAAAUAGGCAUUUUUUAGGCAUUAACAACAACAAAAAGAAUCCAAAUGAAACAUUAUACUUGAUGUUCAGUUUUAAUAGCAUCUGAUAAAGGUAUGCUUCCUUUCAUUUUAACACAUUUCUGCACAUGUAUAUGUUGUAAAAUCCAGGAAACAGCCAAACCACAAGUUAAUUCUUAACAUGAAUAUACAUAGUUAACCCUAUAUUAUGCAGCCCCUUUUAAAAAGCACUGAUGCACCCCAACAGUUAUAUGUAUCAUUUCAUAAAGAACAACACAAAGUUUACCAUCACUAAUACCCAAUACCUAUUCACUUAAUGUUCUGAAACACAAUGAUUUAGAAGGCAAGUUUCUUUUGAAGAUGGCUUAAACUCAAGCAGAUUUUUUUUUGUUUUUCUGAUUUUUUCUGAUUUUUUUUUUUUUUUUUUUUGCCGAACAUUGAAUUUUAUUAUUCCCAGGAAACUAAGAUUUAGGUAAGAAAAAGUGAAAUAAAUACCAACCCUACUUAAAGUAUUCAAGUCUAUAAAAGUAGGAGGUCUGUGGUCUAGUUGUAAUUAAGUUGUAGAUAGUUGGUAUGAAACUGUAAACUCACUAUUCAGACCACAUAAAAAUGGUUGAGAGUGGUGGUCAUUUUAACAAGGUAACACUUCUUAAGGAAAAAAAAAAACAUUGGUGGAACAAAAUUUUAUGAAGGAUUUGGGGUAGCCUGUUGUAACUUAAGUUCUUAGAAAUUUAAAGCAAAUACUCAUUAAGGCAGAGCUGACAUUGAGCUGACAUUGCUUUCUCAAGAAGAAUGAUGACAAUUGGGUCACUUUAUUACAAUGAAACCUAUUAUAAAAUUGAUUCUGGACAGCCUGACACAGUUGGAAUCCAGCUUUUUCCAUGGUAGGUGUAGUAGAAUUACUCUAGCAGGCUCGCUUGAGCAUUCUUGGAAAAAAGAUUUCUGAGUAGUUCAGGAAAUUAAUAUGUCCUGGACUGGGGGAAUCAGCCAAAUUUUUUUAAAGGUCCAUCGUAAGGCUCACGUAUCCCUGAGCCAGUUUAAUAAACGUCAGCUGUGAGAACUGGAACGUCACCUCAACUGUAUUUUAUUCCCUAUUUAGAUACGUAGAUGUGAGGACAGAUGGCAUCUGUGAACUGGUGGCCAUUUCGCUUGAUGCUGGCGCACCACGGGCCCGUGUCAAGGUCUAUGCCAUCUUCUGCGGGCGUCUUGGCCGAUUUGCUCUAGGGAUGGAUGCGAACAUGCCACAAGGUUCAAAAGGAUGAACCAUCAUUUUGUCAAAGUGUUGCCUUUUAAAAUGGCUCACGUGACACCUCCGAUAUCUGUUCUAAAGGAAAAGAUUUACGUACUGGAAGGUUUUCCUAGAAACACAUCCUGGCAGCUUGAGACAGACAAUGAAGUGUUGGGACUGGUACAUGAGUUUGUUGGGUGGGGAACACAUCUGGACUGCAGAGCAGCUGUCUGGUGAUUUGUCAGAGCUGUCAACUCGUCGGCUGAGACCCUCUGGCAGACCUUUAUGUGUAAGAAUUGAGUUGUUCUUUUGACCGAGACUGGAUAUCUUGCAGUUCCUGUUCUUCCUUUGCUUUGAUAUCCUGGUAAGCCUGCAUUUUGCUUGCAUCCUUUAAGUAAGCCCAGUUAGAAGACAGUAUCAUGAGGAAGUGGAUCUGGAAGAGAAGGGUGAGCAUGAUGGCUAGUGAGCAUGUGAGGAGGCAAAGCGAGCUGCGAGCCGGAUUAGACGCUGCGGACUGAAAGGGGAGAGGGUUAUUCUGUAUUAAUACCCACCCUGCUGUCAGGGGCAUCGGAGACGGAGCGCAUGCUCUACCAGGGCGCUUCACAUUGAGAGGCUGAAGAAAGGUUAGUACACAAUGAACUCAGAAAAAAAUGGUCAACGUUAUUGUUCAGAAAAGGCAAAAAUGAAGUACGUACGAGAGGGUAACUUUUUACCAUUUUGAGAGCAACUUUAAGGACAGGCAGAAGUUCAGAAAGACGUUGUAUGGUUAUUUAAGUAAGUGUCAUGCAAAGAUCUUUCCUAUCUCUGGACAAAAAUCCAUUCCCCCAAAGGCCUGAAAGUGUGAACAAUGUUUAAGUAAGUAAUAUCAAACUACAUAUUUAACGUGGAAAAAUUAAGUGAAGGUCAUAACCCAAAAUAAGAACUAUAAGCAAAGCAUGCAGUCCCUGUGUUAACACAUUUUGAGCAGUGAAACUACAUUUUUCAUUUAUAACUGCCAUGAUUUCAUUUCACAAAAGGUCAAAAUCUUUAUAGUGGAUGAGGCAAGUGCGUCUUUCCUGUUCAUUUUCCUCAUCUUUUCCUGCAAAAUCUACAACACAGGUUCCUUCUAUUUCAUAUUUCCUUCUCAACAUAUUUGAGACUUUCAGAUCCAGGCACAAUUUCUCUCCCCAUUAAAAUCUUACUAAAAUCUGACGUGCAGUUUGAGAAGUGGCUGUGAGGAAUCAGUUACUACUCACCCUAACUCAUCACUUGGAUGUUAAUUCUCUGGGCUCUGCCAGGAGUUUGUAAAACCCUUUUCUCAGAGAUAACUGAUGAAUUAUUUUCUUUCAAAUUUUUGGACAGUCCGCUUAUUUGAGGGGCAUGCAUUUGGUAGCAAGCCAGGUAAUGAUAAAAAAAAGAAAAUGUGUCCAGCAAAUUUAAAAUACAUUUGUAAAUUACUUUCCAGAUGGAGUCUGACAAAACUAAGUCCAGAUUAAAAUAGUUCUCUUCCAUUGCAUCUUCAGGACUUGUUUUCAUCACUGAAACAGGUUACCAAGCAAAACCAACGGACAAGGUAAGGAUACCCACGUUUGAAUACUUCACUUAGAGAUACUGCUCCAAGUUAAGAAAACUUUUUCAGUGGAUGCUCACCAGUGUCAACAAGUAACUGAAUCCUUUCCAAAAGGUGGAAAUAGCCAGAUCUCAUUAUUCUGUAGUCCAUGUACGGUAAGUCAUUGUAUUAAUCUACCAUGCGACGUAAGUUGAUUAGAGCAAUUUACAAAUUACUGAAAGAAAACUGCAGGAACCUAGGCUCUGCUUUAGUCUAUGGGUCAGGGACAUUUCAUGCUACCAAGUAGAGCUCUCUAAAGCUCCUCAUGGGCCCUUAUGCAUCUAGAACUUAGUGCAGCAGUCUUCCCGACUCUUAAACUUCAAAACCGCAUAGUUAUACGUAGUAGCCAUCAUGUAGAUCAGCUGGUGGAAGAGAACAGAACAGGACAGUAAGAUACAGGCAGUGGGGGCCGGCGCCCUGACUCUCUACACACGGGUGGGAAUGGGCCAGCUCCAAGCCUAAGGUGCUGCUUUUGCCAAUUUAUAAUUACAACAGGAGAUUUUCACACCUAGCACACACACAUCUUUUUGUUGUUUCAAAUAUACACAUCCUCUGCUCUCCCCUUAAUAUGCUAAUGAAAAAGACUCCGAUGUGUUUAAAGCACACCCGAGAGCUGGGUCAGCAGCCUGCGAACAAUGAGGCUAAAAGCCCCGUGUGCCCUUGUCUUUGCCUCACUGUCCCCUCCGCCGCUUUUUAGUCCUCUCCUGGCCUGUGGCUCAGCUGGGAAAACAGGGGUUCUUUCUACGGCUGGAAUGGGUAGGGAGGAUGUCACGGUUGGAAAAGCUGGCAAGGACUCGGUGCUGAGCACAGGCAAUUUCCCCCUCCCUCAAUUUCCCCCUCCCUCUACCCAUCAGAUGUCUGGAAACCACAAGCCACACCUGCCCAAGUUACACAUACACACAUGCCAACAUCCACCUGUGUGGUUGCAGCUUCCUUAUUUGUGAAUUUGCCUCAGGGCUAACCCUUCUAAUUUCCAAGUCAGGCCUCCUGGCACUGCCAUGGCCACACAGAUGUGCAACGUGGGGAAAAGUCUGCGUCCACCACGGCCACACACGCCUUCUUGUGGCAGCUCUCAGACUAUAAACAACAGUGUCCUUUUUGCAGUCUAUUUAGUGCCGUGUGUGCUUGCAUUUCUGUGAUUGUGUUACUAGAGUCCUGAAGGGCUGGCCAGUGUUCCUACAUGCAGGAAGGAUGCAGGGGCCCUGGCGGAGAAAAUACCUGUGUUGAACGAGCUUCAGUCAGGUUGAAGUUACAGGGCCGCUGGCUGUGAGUUCACUGUUCAUGAAUUGACAAUAGACACUAAAUAAGGUGUCUUUAAACAGAAGCAAACGGAUGGAUGCAUAUUCUUGUUUGGACCAAAAACAUUGUGACCCUGAGGCUGUGCUUCCCCUGGAAGCAGUCGCCCGGUACUCGCUUGCUUGAGGAUUUGAGGAGACCCUAUGCAAUAGAAGUUCUGUACCUAACAAGGGCCCCUGCCCAUGUAGGAAUGUGUAUAUAUGAGGUUUUCCUGGAAAUGAUUUCUUGGCAAAGCAGUGAGUAAUGCCUCACAGAACAUCAGUCCACAGUUGAAGCCAUGAAAGGAAGGGCUGAGUGUCAGCUGUGCCCCACGCCAUCCUAGUUACCCGUGUUUAAGUGUUGGAACCCUCUCUUCCCACAGAAUCCACAUUUCAUCCCCUACCAUCUAAGCCAAGCCCACCACCUGGUACUUCCUGCAGUCUGGACAAGCGAAAUACUUCGGGACUGCAAAUCCAAAUGGAAACUUGGCGAGCUGCUGGCCCUCCCCAGAGAGUGGGGCCGACACGGUCCAUGCCAUCUCUCACUGUACCCUUGACUCCCCGCUCUGCAGUGACCACGUCCACUUGGCUGCUGCUCUUCCUGCCAUUAAUGCUGAGGUAUGUGCUUAAAUAUGAAAUACAGCUUAAGUUCUGCUUCUCCUAGGAACUAAGGAAGGAGAAUUUUUCAAAAUUAUUAUUUAUUCCUUCCAUCUUUGCUAGGGACCAACAGUAAGUCUUUCUGCUUCAGCACAAUGGGAAACGAUGAAACCAGUGAUUUCAAAUAGAGAUUUUAAAAAAAGAUCACUGAUGACCAAAAAGUUUAUAGUGAAUAUUUAAGAAAGGGAAAAUGAUACGCAUCUUGAUAUUCCUUUACAAAUCCUUUACCAAUCCACCUGAGUCUUCCUUUUCAAUCUGUCAUAAAGAACAGUGUGCUUGAACCUUCAUCUUUAGGAGAAGAGAUGCCUCUGAUGGGUGCUUUUAGCUAAGUUUUUAUAUUAUGUUUUAAGACAAGAUGCUGAAGAUAAGGCACAUGGGAAAAUCAGCAAAAAUAAAGUAGUUCUGUCCCCCAAAGCUCCUUUCUCCCCACAGCUGUUUCUGCCAAGGACAGGCUUUUUUUUUUUAACCACCCUGGCCAGAGGCACCUGACCUAAACCGCCUUCUCUCACUCAGGGGGGUAAGUCGAGUCUACAGUGCAUGACAAGAGCGGCACCAGUCCCCUGUGUGGUUUCUCAGAAUGAACCAACCUUAGCUGCCUCAGGCGAGGAUCCCACUCACUAGAAAAUAGAUUUGAACAGGUUUCCAACAGCCAGCGUCUACAGACUGCGUCUGAUGACUUUAAAACACACCUGGAUUUUAUGUUGUAUUUGCCAGUAUUAAAGCCAUUUCUCAUUUUAAAAAGACCUGAUUGGAAGAGGCGGAUGUGCAACUGAACUGGACUCUACAGUUUUGUUCCAUCCCGGAAAUGAAAUGGAAGGAAAAAUACUUUUGAUUGACCUGCACUAUAAAGCAGCUUUGCAUUCUACAAAGUGUCUCUUCCUAAAUACUUCACUUGAAAAUAUAGUAAUUUUGCAUGACACUUUUUAGGAACUAAGAGCCUACGUGCUGUCUCCAUCCAGAAAACGGAGCACAUUGAGUGGAAGGGCGGGAACACAUCCUGCCACUACAUCGCCGCGCCCGCAGUAACGCAAGUGCAGACGCAGGCAGCGCGCGCAGAGUAACAGCGAUGGGGGGGGGGGGUACCGUAUUGCCGGAUGUCCACACAGAUCUGCUCCACCCCGGCUGUCCCGUUGCUCUGGGGGGCCUUGAUGACUUCACAGGUGGACCAUAUGUUGUAGAACAUGAACACCGGCACCGCGGAGAAACCGAACACGCCCAGCCAGGCCACUCCCAGCACGUAGGUGAGGAAGACAAACUAAGGAGGAGAAAGAACUGUCACCAAUCUGGGCCAGGCCCACCCCCGCGAGGCCUGACGGCACAUUUCUGGCCAAGGGUGCAGCGGGGGAAGGCCAUCAGAGCACCCCCUGGAUCCCGGCAGCGACCAGGCCCAGAGCCCUGGCGGCGGCGGCGGCGGCGGAGGGAAGGGUCUGCGCGGUGCUCGCCCACCUGCUGCUGGGGGCAGUCUCUGGAGGUGCAGCAUCGGACUGUUCUCCUUCCUUCCUGACCUGCUGACCGUCCAUCUUCAGCGAGCUCAGAAAAGCUGGGGGCUUGAGAUUUUCAGGGUGCCUGCCCACCCCCUCACCCCAGGAGGCGUGGAGCCACAGCCCUCACUGCUCCUCGCGUG
Sus scrofa (pig) is the source of this 8516-nucleotide non-coding RNA. The record is from RefSeq and is a predicted model, not a curated record. NCBI's taxonomy places the organism in Eukaryota, Metazoa, Chordata, Mammalia, Artiodactyla, Suidae.